UACGGAGGGAGCUAGCGUUGUUCGGAAUUACUGGGCGUAAAGCGCGCGUAGGCGGCUUUGUAAGUUAGAGGUGAAAGCCCGGAGCUCAACUCCGGAACUGCCUUUAAAACUGCAUCGCUUGAAUCCAGGAGAGGUGAGUGGAAUUCCGAGUGUAGAGGUGAAAUUCGUAGAUAUUCGGAAGAACACCAGUGGCGAAGGCGGCUCACUGGACUGGUAUUGACGCUGAGGUGCGAAAGCGUGGGUAGCGAACAGG
This 253-nucleotide ribosomal RNA is filed under the name uncultured bacterium. RNAcentral describes it as "partial 16S ribosomal RNA". It matches the Rfam family "Bacterial small subunit ribosomal RNA", at positions 524 to 776 of the family's 1533-position model. The record is from RNAcentral.